This 479-nucleotide ribosomal RNA is filed under the name uncultured Magnetospirillum sp. RNAcentral describes it as "bacterial SSU rRNA". It matches the Rfam family "Bacterial small subunit ribosomal RNA", at positions 61 to 587 of the family's 1533-position model. Lineage: Bacteria; Pseudomonadati; Pseudomonadota; Alphaproteobacteria; Rhodospirillales; Rhodospirillaceae. The record is from RNAcentral.
GUCGACGAUACCUUCGGGUAUAGUGGCGCACGGGUGAGUAACACGUGGGAAUAUACCUUUCAGUGGGGGAUAACAUCGGGAAACUGAUGCUAAUACCGCAUACGCCCUUAGGGGGAAAGAUUUAUCGCUGAAAGAUUAGCCCGCGUCCGAUUAGCUAGUUGGUGAGGUAAUGGCUCACCAAGGCGACGAUCGGUAGCUGGUCUGAGAGGAUGACCAGCCACACUGGGACUGAGACACGGCCCAGACUCCUACGGGAGGCAGCAGUGGGGAAUAUUGGACAAUGGGCGCAAGCCUGAUCCAGCCAUGCCGCGUGAGUGAUGAAGGCCUUAGGGUUGUAAAGCUCCUUCGACGGGGACGAUGAUGACGGUACCCGUAGAAGAAGCCCCGGCUAACUUCGUGCCAGCAGCCGCGGUAAUACGAAGGGGGCUAGCGUUGUUCGGAAUUACUGGGCGUAAAGCGCACGCAGGCGGUUCGAUUAG